Long non-coding RNA from Sorghum bicolor (sorghum), 891 nucleotides. RefSeq lists it as uncharacterized. NCBI's taxonomy places the organism in Eukaryota, Viridiplantae, Streptophyta, Magnoliopsida, Poales, Poaceae. The record is from RefSeq and is a predicted model, not a curated record. The transcript has 5 exons.
GACGCUCGGGUGGUCGGGGUUCGAUUCCCAUCCCCGUGCCAUAUUUUCUUUUCCUCCCAGAGAAAACCAUCAACCCACCUGGCGAUCGCAUCUCCGCUCGUAGGGGAGGCCGUGGUCGGUAUCGCUCUGCACGGGCUCACGCUGGAGGAGCUCUUGACGGCAGUAUGGCACGGAGGACGAGGAGCCUCCAGACUUGCCGCCCGCAGCUGUCGGCCUUCCAAUCCCUCCAGAUCUGUCGCCGAGGAGACCGCUGACCAUAGAGGCCACGGAGGAGGUGUCGGAUCUCGCCGAGUUUAUGCACCAGGCGGUGUCACUUCUAGCCGACGAUGACCCCUCCGACAACGCCGUGCUGAGCCACCCCGCCACCUUCCUCAACGAGGCACCGUGCCGUGGUGCGUCAUUUUGUUGCCUCUGAAAUAAACAACUCUGCUCUGUCGCAAGAAGGAAUUGUUUCGAUACUAAAAGGCAAAGAUUUACAUCGAUGCACUCAGAUAUGCAAUGAAACUGUGUGAAGGUGAUGAUUGGUAUGGAAAUGGUGAAAAUUAGGUUGUACCGGUUAGCUUGCGAGAUAUGCUGAUCAGGUGAUGGCUUGGGGGAAAGUCAUGCUUGGACAGGAAGGGAGUGGCAAUUGCCUUUUGCACAACCAAAAAACAGCUUUUAGUCAACGAAGGAUUGUUCCUAACCAUCCUUGUACUGAACUUUCUCAACCUGACAUGUGAUUGCAGCUAAUGUCAAUCAUUUGCCUAUCGUUUGGUAUUAGAGAAUGAAUAGGAUUCCACCAUUCUUGUAUUGCAGUUAAUUUGACCUUAAGGCAUGGAUAAUAUUGUUUGGCCUGAAACAAUUAUAUCGGCCACCUAAUUUUUUGCAAUAUAAUUUGGUUGAGUUUGUAUA